AGGCAUCAACACCCUUUCAAAUUAACCUCACUUGAUCACAUUGCUGUCUCAGAAGCUAACCACUUAAAUUUCUUCCCCUUCUAAACUAUAAUCACCUCCCUUUUCCUUCCCCUAAUCUUUUCUCUUUCCCCAGAUCAGCUUUCCAUGGCCUCAGUACAGGUGCUGCCUUUUCUUUUUUCCCUGUAACUUCCACACAUAUAAUUAUUUAAAUAUAGUCUAUAUAUAUUUUUUCCCUGGAAAUAUGUAACAGUGGUAAUUUAUAUCUCAGGCUGAUACACCCGUCCAGGAGGUAAGCAACGAGCAAGCUGAAAAAGCAACACAGGAGACUCCCGUUCUUGAAGAAAAGCCAGCCACCAGCGAAGAAGCUGAAGUAGUAGUGCACGAGGAAGACGAUGAAGAGGAAGAGGAAGAAGAAGAAAAGCAUGAAAACACCCAUGAAGAGGAAACGCAAAAUGAAGUGAAAGAUGAAGAAAAUGCAGGGUCACCAAUUAUUGGUGAGGCUGAACCACCUGCUUCUUUUGAUGGUGAAGA
RNAcentral lists this unclassified non-coding RNA (531 nucleotides) under Hevea brasiliensis (rubber tree). Lineage: Eukaryota; Viridiplantae; Streptophyta; Magnoliopsida; Malpighiales; Euphorbiaceae. The record is from RNAcentral.